RNAcentral lists this ribosomal RNA (263 nucleotides) under uncultured bacterium. RNAcentral describes it as "partial 16S ribosomal RNA". It matches the Rfam family "Bacterial small subunit ribosomal RNA", at positions 67 to 334 of the family's 1533-position model. The record is from RNAcentral.
CGGCACCUAUCUUCGGAUGAAGCGAGUGGCGAACGGCUGAGUAACACGUGGAGAACCUGCCCCCUCCCCCGGGAUAGCCGCCCGAAAGGACGGGUAAUACCGGAUACCCCGGGGUGCCGCAUGGCACCCCGGCUAAAGCCCCGACGGGAGGGGAUGGCUCCGCGGCCCAUCAGGUAGACGGCGGGGUGACGGCCCACCGUGCCGACAACGGGUAGCCGGGUUGAGAGACCGACCGGCCAGAUUGGGACUGAGACACGGCCCAG